UAAAAGGUCGUAUCCGUGCUGGACUGCAAUGAUAAAUAAGGGGCAAUUUGCAUUGUAUGGCUUCUAAACCAUUAAAAGUUUUUAAUUUGUUUUAUUAACGACAAUGGAUGUGAUGCCAAUGUUAUUUAUAACAUAGUAAAUUGGGAGGAUCUUCGAUCACCUGAUGCCGCGCUAGUUAUAUUUUAAAACAUUAUUUAAUACAAUGUCAAAGCCUAGAAUCAAUUGUAAACGACUUUUGUAACAGGCAAGGUGUUGUAAGUGGUUGAGCAGCUGCCAUACUGCGAUCCACUGAAGCUUAUCCUUUGCUUGAUGAUUCGA
This 318-nucleotide non-coding RNA is filed under the name Drosophila virilis. RNAcentral describes it as "Eukaryotic large subunit ribosomal RNA". It matches the Rfam family "Eukaryotic large subunit ribosomal RNA", at positions 3129 to 3401 of the family's 3401-position model. The record is from Rfam by way of RNAcentral. Lineage: Eukaryota; Metazoa; Arthropoda; Insecta; Diptera; Drosophilidae.